This 259-nucleotide ribosomal RNA is filed under the name uncultured bacterium. RNAcentral describes it as "partial small subunit ribosomal RNA". It matches the Rfam family "Bacterial small subunit ribosomal RNA", at positions 26 to 285 of the family's 1533-position model. The record is from RNAcentral.
AGGACGAACGCUGGCGGCGUGCCUCAUACAUGCAAGUGGAGCGACGAACCAGGAUUUAUCCUGGGGCAAAGCCGCGAACGGGUGAGUAACACGUGGGCAACCUGCCCCUCACACUGGGAUAACCUCGGGAAACCGGGGCUAAUACCGGAUACGACCUCGAGCGGCAUCUCUUGAGGUGGAAAGCUCCGACGGUGAGGGAUGGGCCCGCGGCCUAUCAGCUUGUUGGUGGGGUAAUGGCCUACCAAGGCGACGACGGGUA